CUUCCAUUUUUUCUCUUAUAUAUACGACCAUCAGAAGAAAAGAGGAGGCGUGGAACUUUUGGGCAGCCAUUAGAGAGAGAAGUAGAGAAUGAAGAAGAAGAAAAGGAAAAAGAAAGAAGAGGAAGGAGAUUCAAAGAGGAGGACAAGAAGAGGACCACUUGGGGACACCUAUUGGGGAUUGAUUUGUCAUCCUUCUCUCAGUACUUAAGAUGUCUCAUCGGCAAGUCACCAUUAACUUUGUUCAACAUGACUCAGAGCCUUUACAUAGAGCAUGGUGGAGAUACAAAAAUUUGUUCAUGAGGUUCCCUUACCAUGGUUUGUCAAGAGAGUGUCUACUUGAAGUCUUUCUCAAUGGGUUGCAUGUUGGGAAAAACUUAUACAAGAUCUUUAUUUAUUUUCAUGUAAGUCUAAUAUUAAACAAAUUAAUAUGAGAUAACCUAGAACAUGUUUCUAAAAUUGAAUUCAAAGAGAAACAAUGAUAAGAAUACUUACAAUAUACGCAGUGGAAUGAAAGAAUCAUUCCUUUA
Molecule: long non-coding RNA, 527 nt
Organism: Humulus lupulus (European hop)
Lineage: Eukaryota; Viridiplantae; Streptophyta; Magnoliopsida; Rosales; Cannabaceae
Exons: 2
Source: RefSeq, a predicted model, not a curated record